UACAGAGGGCUCAAGCGUUGUUCGGAUUCAUUGGGCGUAAAGGGUGCGUAGGCGGCGCCGUAAGUCGGGUGUGAAAUUUCGGAGCUUAACUCCGAAACUGCAUUCGAUACUGCGGUGCUUGAGGACUGGAGAGGAGACUGGAAUUCAUGGUGUAGCAGUGAAAUGCGUAGAUAUCUGGAGGAACACCGGUGGCGAAGGCGGCGUCCUGGACCAACACUGACACUGAUGAGCGAAAGCCAGGGGAGCAAACGGG
This 253-nucleotide ribosomal RNA is filed under the name uncultured bacterium. RNAcentral's name for it is "partial 16S ribosomal RNA". It matches the Rfam family "Bacterial small subunit ribosomal RNA", at positions 524 to 776 of the family's 1533-position model. The record is from RNAcentral.